RNAcentral lists this ribosomal RNA (253 nucleotides) under uncultured bacterium. Its description in RNAcentral is "partial 16S ribosomal RNA". It matches the Rfam family "Bacterial small subunit ribosomal RNA", at positions 524 to 776 of the family's 1533-position model. The record is from RNAcentral.
UACGUAGGGUGCAAGCGUUGUCCGGAAUUAUUGGGCGUAAAGAGCUCGUAGGCGGUCUGUCGCGUCUGCUGUGAAAACUCAGGGCUUAACCCUGAGCUUGCAGUGGGUACGGGCAGACUAGAGUGCGGUAGGGGAGACUGGAAUUCCUGGUGUAGCGGUGAAAUGCGCAGAUAUCAGGAGGAACACCAGUGGCGAAGGCGGCACUCUGGGCCGGUACUGACGCUGAGACGCGAAAGCGUGGGGAGCGAACAGG